RNAcentral lists this long non-coding RNA (768 nucleotides) under Androctonus crassicauda. The record is from RNAcentral. Lineage: Eukaryota; Metazoa; Arthropoda; Arachnida; Scorpiones; Buthidae.
CUCUUGUCCUAUCUUCUUUCUUUAGUUGUCUUAUUUCUCUCUCUCUUUCUCUCUCUCUUUGUUUUUCCCAUGGUUUAAAGAUCAGAUCGUAAUCAAUAUUAUUUUCCUCCGACGAGAGGUUAACGUCGUCAACGCUAGUUAUUACUGGCCCUAGAUAACCGAUAAACUUUCGUUCUCUAUUAAGAUAAACACCCGGUUUCGGGAUACCUUAAAAAAAAAAAAAGUUCCAGGAAGAGGAAACAUUCCGAAACAUAAGAGGAUCCUUCAACUGUAUUCGUUUUCGCUUGUUGCUCCUAAACAAUGUUCUAUAGAAAUUUUCGUUACUCACCUCCCCCCCGAAUGCAAGACGGUUAUUUGUAAAUUGCACGCCGAUAUUUUUCCACCUAAAUCUUUUCUCAGUUCUAUGCCAAGGACGUUCGGCACCAAAAAUAACGCGCGUGCCGUUUCUAGAAGCACUUCCUGCCUGAUGCAAUCCUUUCCCGUCAUGCAAUUGACCCUGAGAGUUGGAAUCGUCCUCAUCUAUCUCUGGCUAUCUGUUCUACCCUCAAGGACGUCGCUUUGGCACGUGACGGACGUCCUUGAUCCACCGAUUUCGAAUGACGCUGCGGAAUCGAAUUAUUACGUACUCGAUUAUUUUUCCGAAAUUUUUUCUCGAUAAUACAACGAUUAGAUUUAUUUCUAAAUAGAAGAAUUUCUUCGUUAAAAUAACAAAGAAAAUUCCUGGUUAUUUUAUAUAUAUGUAUAUAUAUAUAGAAUGUAAGAAUUUCC